AUCAACCGAGAUUCCCAAAGUAGUGGCGAGCGAAAUGGGAUGAGCCUUGCACUCUUUAUUUGUAUUGUUAGCCGAACGCUCUGGAAAGUGCGGCCAUAGCGGGUGAUAGCCCCGUAGGCGAAAACAGUAUGAAAGAACUAGGUGUGCGACAAGUAGGGCGGGACACGUGAAAUCCUGUCUGAAGAUGGGGGGACCAUCCUCCAAGGCUAAAUACUCGUGAUCGACCGAUAGUGAACCAGUACCGUGAGGGAAAGGCGAAAAGAACCCCGGGAGGGGAGUGAAAUAGAUCCUGAAACCGCAUGCAUACAAACAGUCGGAGCCUCGUAAGGGGUGACGGCGUACCUUUUGUAUAAUGGGUCAGCGACUUACGUUCAGUAGCAAGCUUAACCGUAUAGGGCAGGCGUAGCGAAAGCGAGUCCGAAUAGGGCGUUCAGUUGCUGGGCGUAGACCCGAAACCAGGUGAUCUAUCCAUGGCCAGGAUGAAGGUGCGGUAACACGUACUGGAGGUCCGAACCCACUAACGUUGAAAAGUUAGGGGAUGAGCUGUGGAUAGGGGUGAAAGGCUAAACAAACCUGGAAAUAGCUGGUUCUCUCCGAAAACUAUUUAGGUAGUGCCUCGUGUCUCACCUUCGGGGGUAGAGCACUGUCAUGGUUGGGGGGUCUAUUGCAGAUU
RNAcentral lists this ribosomal RNA (673 nucleotides) under Burkholderia sp. USMB20. RNAcentral's name for it is "bacterial LSU rRNA". It matches the Rfam family "Bacterial large subunit ribosomal RNA", at positions 224 to 937 of the family's 2925-position model. The record is from RNAcentral. Lineage: Bacteria; Pseudomonadati; Pseudomonadota; Betaproteobacteria; Burkholderiales; Burkholderiaceae.